This 540-nucleotide ribosomal RNA is filed under the name uncultured marine eukaryote. RNAcentral's name for it is "SSU rRNA". It matches the Rfam family "Eukaryotic small subunit ribosomal RNA", at positions 618 to 1169 of the family's 1831-position model. The record is from RNAcentral.
GUUAAAAAGCUCGUAGUUGGAUGUCGGUUAAGAGCGACCGGUCCGCCGUUUGGUGUGCACUGGUUGGUUUUAACUUCCUGUAGAGGACGUGCUCUGGGCUUAACGGUCUGACUCGGAGUCUACGUGGUUACUUUGAAAAAAUUAGAGUGUUCAAAGCGGGCUUACGCUUGAAUAUUUCAGCAUGGAAUAACACUAUAGGACUCCUGUCCUAUUUCGUUGGUCUCGGGACGGGAGUAAUGAUUAAGAGGAACAGUUGGGGGCAUUCGUAUUUCAUUGUCAGAGGUGAAAUUCUUGGAUUUAUGAAAGACGAACUUCUGCGAAAGCAUUUGCCAAGGAUGUUUUCAUUAAUCAAGGACGAAAGUUGGGGGCUCGAAGAUGAUUAGAUACCAUCCUAGUCUCAACCAUAAACGAUGCCGACUAGGGAUUGGCGGAUGUUAAUUGAUGACUCCGCCAGCACCUUAUGAGAAAUCAAAGUUUUUGGGUUCCGGGGGGAGUAUGGUCGCAAGGCUGAAACUUAAAGGAAUUGACGGAAGGGCACCA